This 500-nucleotide ribosomal RNA is filed under the name uncultured bacterium. Its description in RNAcentral is "partial 16S ribosomal RNA". It matches the Rfam family "Bacterial small subunit ribosomal RNA", at positions 30 to 523 of the family's 1533-position model. The record is from RNAcentral.
AUUGAACGCUGGCGGCAUGCCUUACACAUGCAAGUCGAACGGCAGCACGGGAGCAAUCCUGGUGGCGAGUGGCGAACGGGUGAGUAAUAUAUCGGAACGUGCCCAGUCGUGGGGGAUAACGUAGCGAAAGCUACGCUAAUACCGCAUACGAUCUAUGGAUGAAAGCGGGGGAUCGCAAGACCUCGCGCGAUUGGAGCGGCCGAUAUCAGAUUAGGUAGUUGGUGAGGUAAAGGCUCACCAAGCCGACGAUCUGUAGCUGGUCUGAGAGGACGACCAGCCACACUGGGACUGAGACACGGCCCAGACUCCUACGGGAGGCAGCAGUGGGGAAUUUUGGACAAUGGGCGCAAGCCUGAACCAGCAAUGCCGCGUGCAGGAUGAAGGCCUUCGGGUUGUAAACUGCUUUUGUACGGAACGAAACGGUGAGCUCUAAUACAGUUUGCUAAUGACGGUACCGUAAGAAUAAGCUCCGGCUAACUCCGUGCCAGCCGCCGCGGUAA